Molecule: long non-coding RNA, 2412 nt
Organism: Daktulosphaira vitifoliae (grape phylloxera)
Lineage: Eukaryota; Metazoa; Arthropoda; Insecta; Hemiptera; Phylloxeridae
Exons: 3
Source: RefSeq, a predicted model, not a curated record
CGUGGUCGGUACUCGUGGGGAACAGAGCCAGUUGAAUGCCGCCGUGUCGUGCCUUGCGGUCCAUCGCCGGUCCUGCGAUCAUCCUAAGCGAGUUACACGCUAGUUUACUCAUAUUCGGAGUAUAAAUAAAAAAUAUAAACUGUAAAAUAAAUUAAAGAGAAGUUCGCGAGGAUUAAAUUUCGCAAAAUAAAAAUGAGUUAGACUAAUUCUUUCCUUCAUUUUAUUUUUAUCAAAUUAUUUUUUGUAGCCCCUGUAUUAUAGAAUUUAUUAUUUUAUUCAAACAGUAUUUUUUAAAUGUGGCGUCUUUAUUAGUAUUGCGUGCAAUGUGUCUGUCAAUCCUUCCGUCAUAAUACCUGAUGAUUACUUUGUUAUUUGAUUUCUAUCAUUUUUAUGCUGUCAUCUUAAAAUGUGUUGCUGACGAAUUGGGAUUUUUAUGUUGAGAUAUUGGAUGGAUAAUAAAGUAGAACAUAAGAUGAGUUCAAAGAGCAAUCAAUUCAGUAGACGAUACCUUAAUGAAGUUAGUUUCAAAAAUAUUAUCAUUUUUAAUGUUUUUAUUGGACACUAAACAUAAUAUUAUAUUGUUAGUUAUACUGUAGUCGCCAGUUAUCGAUCGUAGAUAAGACUAGAAAUAUUGUUUAUGACGACUCAAAAAAAUAAUUGAAUGCAUAAUCGUUGAAAAAAAGAAGCUGAAACUGUCAUUUACAAAAUGAUGGUGGAUAAAAAACAGACAUCUACUCCUUACCUAUUACAAAUGCCGCGUUGCUCUCUCUUAAUCAACAGUGGGCGUUGAACAUUUGAUAAUAGUUUUGACAGGUCAUGCCAAACAGAUUUGUUCGAGUCUAACGAUGUAGUGUGUAAUAAAUGUAUUGUACAACGGUAUAAUAUUGCGAAGAUCGUUUUUUAACGCAAAUAAAGUUUUGACGGGGGUAGUAUGCAAUUCAUUUUUGGUCAUACAAUCGAUUUCUGUUGUCCUAGUACACGCAACAAAGACGGUAAUUGUUGUCAUUUAUUUGUCACUGGAAAUUUAAUAUUUUUUUGCUUUUGGCCACUUAUUAUGGUUAUAAUGUUAUAAUGUUUGUUCAGUGUUAAUCAUUUGUAGUUUUAAGACAAAGAAUAGCGACGCGCCUAAGAUAAAAAAAAAAUGACGUAAUGUUAAAAUACAUUGAUUAUAUAUAAAUUAUAGGUCUCUGUCGCUAAGACAUGAUAUAGAAAAUUUGAAUAAAAACAUUUUAGUUAAAAGCUCCGAUGCUUGAAAUAACACAAAAAGGAACGCAUGAAAUUAUGAUUGAAACGUUAUGUUAAAACAAUACAAUAUUACAUUCAUGUAUAAACUAAUAGUGGAAACCUACUAUAUCAUUCAGCUUUAUUCAUGCAAACUCUUGAACGAUAAAACGAGUAAAACAAACAAAACAAAUAGUAGGUAGCAAUAAAACGAUUUAUACGGUAGAAUAACGAUCAUACACUUUAUUUAUUACCGUUAAAUGUGCAUUGUGCGAAUAAAAACAAAACACUAUAUUGUUCUUGUGGUUAUUAAAAUCUAUGAUUUUAUCUGUCUGCAUGAUAUUAACUCGAGAAAAAAUUAUGGAGAAAUACACGAUGGACAGAUCGUGUAUUUAUAAGUUAAUGAAUAAGGUGUCAAGCGAAUGCGUGCAGUUAUUUUGUGGUUUUUUUUUCAUUUAUUAAAUGUAAACCCAUACGUUGGUUGUUAUUCGUUAGGGUUGAUUGCAACCGCUGCCACAAGAUGCAUAGGGUUUAAUAAAAUUCGAUAAUAUUUGAGCGCUAUAUGGAGGUCACCUCGUGUAUAGGAAGGGAUGGAAAUGUCCGAUCAAGGGAUAUAGACGGUUUGUCGACCUGAGUUUUAUCAGAAAUUUGUUUUUUUUCCUAUCCGAAGUACAUCAUUUUUGGUAGCUAAUAGAGGGUUGUGAAAUAUACAUCGGCGUGGUGCUGUUUGUUCAUCAUCAAUCAUUGAAUCGACUGGGUGGGGUGCCAUCGUUGUGAAAUUACACUGACUCCUAAUCCUUCUGUAUACUUCCUAUCUAUAGUUUUGCAGGAACCACUUUCAUUUAGCACGUCAAUCAUAUAAUAUUAUAACGUAUAUGAAAACAAAAGUUUCCCACAAAAACCUUUAUACUGUUAAAUAUUAUAACUUAAAGCUUGAGCUAUAUAUGGAAGUACUUAUGAGCUGUACAUACGAGUACUUUGCUUCAUUAUUAUUGCCGUAGAGACAUACUUAACUGUUUGGUAAGUUUUGACAAACUGCUCAAUUCUCAUUAAUACAAUUUAAUUGAAUCCAUUAGUAAUUAAAAUAAUAUACCUGCCUAUUGUUAAGUUUACAUUGAAGAUAAGUAAAUUGUUGAUAGUUUAUUUGAUUGGUUUAUCUUUGAAUAGAUAAGAUACUAAAAUUUUUAUUUA